AUUUUCAACGGAAAUAUGGGCGGGGUCUGUUUAGGUUUUUUGUGUGAAUGACUUCCGGUUAAGCACUUCCGGGCAACAGUUAGCUAGUUUACAUAUCUCACUGUCGCUUCUUACAACUUACCAAAUAUGGACGAAAAACAGGCAUUUUAUGAUCGAUGAAGACAAUUGUGAUGUGGAGUCUGAUCUGAGUGUGCCAAUGGCACUGCAGCAUAAAGAUGCUGAUACUCAAUGGGAUGUUCCAGCACUGACUGAUCACAGCUAUGUGUCAAGAGAACCAGUCAACAAGCCCAUCUGCCACAAACAAACCCAAUGUGGUGGUGCAGAGUCAUUGACCCACACCAUCCUGAAGAAUGACACUAGCUCAGUGUUGUAUACUGGCCUUCCUCUAAGUGUUUUCUUUAACCAUGUAGCAUUUCUGCAUAAAUUCUACACGGCUAACUUCAAAAUGCAUAUCACUGAUCAAAUACUGAUAACCUUGAUAAAGCUGAAUCUAUUCCACAGUGAUAUUGCUGAACACUUUGCUGUGUCCCAGGGAGUAGUGAGCAGAAUCCUUUCCUACUGGAUUGACACAAUGGAGGAGCUCAUGAGGAUCUACAUUCCAUGGCAGCCGAGGUUAGACAAUCCAGAAGACGCUGCCUCAGUGCUUCAAGGAGAAGUUAACCAACACCACUUGCAUCAUCCACUGCUCUGAGACCAUUCUCCAGAAAGCACACAAUCUCGAUUCCAGAUGGGAGUCAUACAGCCACUAUUAUUCCAGCAAUACUCUCAAGUAUUUGGUUGCCAUUGCUCUAUGUGGACUCAUUAUGUUAAUUUCUCCUGCAUAUAGAGGCAGAUGCAGUGACAAGUUCAUCACCCAAAACUCUGGCUUCCUGGAAUACCUUAGGCUUGGCGAUGAAGUUAUGGCUGACGGGCUUCACCAUCCGAGAUCUGCUGUAUGAGAGGAAGGUAAACCUUGCCAUACCAGCCUUCACGCGGAAAGGAGGCCAGCUGUCUGGCGAGGAUGUCGCAAGCACAAGAAGAAUAGUUAAUGUGCAUAUACAUGUUUAGAGAGUUAUCAGACUCAAGGUGUUCAAAUCCUCUUCCAGACCCAUCAACCUGACACACAAAAUGGACAAAGUCCUUAGAAUCUGUGCAGCCCUUGUUAACAUGCAGGGUGAGAUCAUCCAUGAGGAUGCAGAAUGAGCAGUGAGAAUGUUCAUACAUUUGAAAUGUAACUUUAAACACUAUCAUUUCAUCCACCUGCGAUACUAUGUAUGUAUGUAUGAAAAUGUAUUUGAAAUAGAUUUAAAAAGGCAUUAUAGCAGCACCUAGUGGAUGCCUGUAAUUAUCAGGAACCGGCAAAAUUACAGUAGAUUUCAAAUAUUUGAAAUACAUUUUCUUCAACACAAAUGUCACUAACAGACCAAGAGGGAAGACAAAUGUUUGUCAAGUGACACAAUUUUUCUUAAUUUGUGCCCUUGAAAACCAAACCCAGAAUCAAACUGAAAACACCUUUGAAUACUUGCCUCCUCAUCCUACUUUUCAAAAUGGUAAGUAUCAAAGAAAAGGUCAAAGUGGAGUUUCAUAAUGUUUUUAUUAACUCCGUAAGUUGCUAAGUGCAAGAUGAGUUCACGAAGUGCCAUAUGAAAAAAGAGCUAUACAAGGUACGAUUAAAAUAUUCAUCAAUCAUAA
This is a long non-coding RNA of Oncorhynchus nerka (sockeye salmon), 1671 nucleotides long. RefSeq lists it as uncharacterized. Lineage: Eukaryota; Metazoa; Chordata; Actinopteri; Salmoniformes; Salmonidae. The record is from RefSeq and is a predicted model, not a curated record. The transcript is spliced from 2 exons.